CAGCCGCUUACACCGCAUCGGAGGAGAUCGAAUAAUGGAAGCUGGGAAGGCGAAGCAGCAGCAGCAGCGAGAACGACGUACCAGCAACGGAAUCAUCAUCGAAGUGUACGAGGAAGCACCGCCGAGACCCGGUGCUAAUCGUCCGAUUCAGCGCCGGAGUCGACUCGGUGCACCGUCGUCGCUCGCUUACGACCGUAGGAAGAUGCUGCUUGCCUACUCUCAGCAGCUGCGACAGUGCCACGAGCAGCCAACCCAACGCUGCUGCAAGAUCGUACACAGGCCGAGUUGGGGCCAAUGGAAGGCAGCCUUUCUGCGGAAUCAUGGUGGUGUAAGUUAGACGACUAACCUCCUUUAGCUGAUACUGGUGAGAUGAGAAGCUUGUGUACUAACGAGUAGGGUUAGGAUGGGGACUGAGACCGGCUUUUGUUUUGAGUUGGAAUGUCUUAGAUGAAGAAGAGGAAUUCUUUGCGACGGCGAACUCGGGCGUGGAUUCGUCGAAUUCUGACCAGAAUCAGAAGGCGACUAGAGGAGGACAGCGCUAUCGUGCCUGCUGCCGAACACUCUCCUUCAUGUUCUUGUCGAGUGAGUGAACGUUUCACACGAAGCUGCCGGGAUUUCUUCUUCUUCUUCUUCUUCUUCUUCCUUCCUCUCUAAUGGUGCUUUUGUGUGCGUUCAGGGAAUGUGGAGGUGCCUACUGGGAAGGCUUUCGUGGUUGUGGAGGCGUCGCAAUGGUGAUAGGCGGUUCUCCGGUUGCCGCAAGGCGCUGAGUUGUUCCUAGUUGUCGUCAUGCAUGCAUGAAUGUUUGGGAGUAAUAAAGACAGCUUCUCCUUCUUCUAUAAUGCUUCCUUAUAAUCAAUCGAUCGUCUGUGUCAGUGCCUUAGAAUGAUGUCCCGUUCGUUAUCAUCAACGUCACAUAAACUACUUACAUAGUGGGUGAGCUGCUCACGAAGGAUCGGAUUGUGUGUGUGAUUAGUCGAUUGAGGUUUGGGCUUCACUAUACGCGAGUUUGUGUUUUGGGUUUGGAAUUUGAUAGGAACUCGGUGAAGUUUAAAUGAGU
This 1057-nucleotide long non-coding RNA is filed under the name Musa acuminata (dwarf banana). Its description in RNAcentral is "long non-coding RNA (MACU_LNC006115)". The record is from RNAcentral. Lineage: Eukaryota; Viridiplantae; Streptophyta; Magnoliopsida; Zingiberales; Musaceae.